AAGCAAAUAUAUACAGAUCUAAAUCUGACUUUUCACAUGAAUAUAAAUAUUAGCCUCGAGAAGUGCACACGUAAAAGUGAAGUAUUAAAAGACAACCUUUGCAGGUAGACAUGAAGUUAUUCGACAUCAUAGUGCUUGUUGCUUUGUUGAUUGUGGCCUCGGUUACAAUCCAAGCUGAUGACGAUGGUUAUAGCAAAGGACUUCUAUGGCUUAAAUUAAAUUACGGUGGAGAUAAUACAGACUGGUUAACGUGGAACGGAUGAUACUUUGAAAAACAGAAAUAGCUUUAUUUUAUUUAAAGAAAUAAAAUGAUAAAAUUUAAAA
Molecule: long non-coding RNA, 324 nt
Organism: Mytilus californianus (California mussel)
Lineage: Eukaryota; Metazoa; Mollusca; Bivalvia; Mytilida; Mytilidae
Exons: 3
Source: RefSeq, a predicted model, not a curated record